GACGAACGCUGGCGGCGUGCUUAACACAUGCAAGUCGAACGGAAAGGCCCUGCUUUUGUGGGGUGCUCGAGUGGCGAACGGGUGAGUAACACGUGAGUAACCUGCCCUUGACUUUGGGAUAACUUCAGGAAACUGGGGCUAAUACCGGAUAGGAGCUCCUGCUGCAUGGUGGGGGUUGGAAAGUUUCGGCGGUUGGGGAUGGACUCGCGGCUUAUCAGCUUGUUGGUGGGGUAGUGGCUUACAAGGCUUUGACGGGUAGCCGGCCUGAGAGGGUGACCGGCCACAUUGGGACUGAGAUACGGCCCAGACUCCUACGGGAGGCAGCAGUGGGGAAUAUUGCACAAUGGGCGGAAGCCUGAUGCAGCAACGCCGCGUGCGGGAUGACGGCCUUCGGGUUGUAAACCGCUUUCGCCUGUGACGAAGCGUGAGUGGCGGUAAUGGGUAAAGAAGCACCGGCUAACUACGUG
This 467-nucleotide ribosomal RNA is filed under the name uncultured bacterium. RNAcentral's name for it is "partial 16S ribosomal RNA". It matches the Rfam family "Bacterial small subunit ribosomal RNA", at positions 28 to 507 of the family's 1533-position model. The record is from RNAcentral.